GGAGAGAUGCGAGAGUGGUUGAAUCGGGCCGCCUCGAAAGCGGCUAGGCUCGUAAGAGCCUCGCAGGUUCGAAUCCUGCUCUCUCCGCCA
This 90-nucleotide transfer RNA is filed under the name Candidatus Gorgyraea atricola. Its description in RNAcentral is "tRNA-Ser". It matches the Rfam family "tRNA". From Rfam's summary of the family: Transfer RNA (tRNA) molecules are approximately 80 nucleotides in length. Lineage: Bacteria; Pseudomonadati; Candidatus Omnitrophota. The record is from RNAcentral.